Molecule: unclassified non-coding RNA, 353 nt
Filed under: Hevea brasiliensis (rubber tree)
Lineage: Eukaryota; Viridiplantae; Streptophyta; Magnoliopsida; Malpighiales; Euphorbiaceae
Source: RNAcentral
UCUCCUGCAUGCUCAAAAUCCCGCCUACAAGAAAAUAAUUUUUUUCUACUGUGCAGCAAAUACAUGACAUAAAGCAGGAGCAAUUGAGAAAUAUUGUAAUUAUUUUCAUUCAUGGAGCCAUAGACAACUAUUAAAAACUCUCUAGGAUUCUGACCCUUUCUGGACAUAAUAGAUUCCUAAGAUCCUUGUCUUUGGUGGUUCAAAGCUGUAUUUAGUUUGACUAUCUCGGAAGGGGAAAGAGGAGAAAGUAGGACGGGAUAACAAUUUCAAAGGAAGAAGGAAAUAAUGUGCAAGGAGAAGCAUAAACAUCACCAAUUCACAACAAUUUUACACCAGUAUUUUAAAUUCAAAUA